This 30-nucleotide non-coding RNA is filed under the name Macaca fascicularis (crab-eating macaque). RNAcentral also lists the same sequence under 1 other name. The record is from RNAcentral. Lineage: Eukaryota; Metazoa; Chordata; Mammalia; Primates; Cercopithecidae.
GCAGUGUCCUGUGGAUUUAGCAAGGCUGCU